This 1370-nucleotide ribosomal RNA is filed under the name Scolytinae sp. BMNH 1040146. RNAcentral's name for it is "16S ribosomal RNA". The stretch from base 1065 to 1223 matches the Rfam family "Archaeal large subunit ribosomal RNA", at positions 2542 to 2701 of the family's 2987-position model. Lineage: Eukaryota; Metazoa; Arthropoda; Insecta; Coleoptera; Curculionidae. The record is from RNAcentral.
AUAAUAAAUAUAGUUUGAGUAAAUUAUUUUAUUAUUUGUUUUGAUAUAAGAUUUUAUUUAAAUGAAAUAUAUUAAGUUUAUUAUUUUGUAAGAUUAAAUUUAUUAUAAUUAUAGGUUAUUAGUAUUGUGAUAGAAUAAAUUUUAUAUUUAUAAAAGAAGAUUUAAUUUGUUGUAUCUUGUGUAUCAGGGUUGAUCUAAUAAAAAUUUAUUUUAAUAAAUUUUCUCGAAUUUUAAAGAGUUUUAUUAUUAUAAUUUUUAAUGUAGAAUAAUUAUUAUUAAUAAUAAUAAAGAAAUGAGACGUUACUCGUUUUAAAAUAUAUCUAGUUUCUUAAGAAACAAAUUUAAUUUGUCUUUAUUUAUAAUUCAAUUUAUUUGUAAAAUUAAUUAUAUUUAAAGUAUAUUAAGAAAGGGUUGAGCUUUUUUUAAUAAGAAUAAAAAUUUAUUAAUUAAAUUUAUUUAUUAUUGAAUUAAUAGUGUUUGAUUGAUGAUUUAUAUCUAAUUAUAUAUGAAUUAUAAUUUUUAUUUUGUUUAUAUUAUAAAUUUAUUAAGAUUUUUAUUAUAAUUAAUUAAAUUAGUAAUUAAUGAUUAAAUUAGUAAAUUUUAUUGUAAUGUAUAAUUGUAUAUUAAUUGUAAAGUUAAAUUUAGGAAUUCGGCAAAUAAAUUUUUUACCUGUUUAUUAAAAACAUGGUCUUUAGUCAUAUAUUUAAGAUCUGGCCUGCCCAAUGAAUUUAAAUGGCUGCGGUAUUUUGACCGUACAAAGGUAGCAUAAUCAUUAGUUUUUUAAUUGAAAGCUGGAAUGAAUGGUUGGAUAAAAAAAUAACUGUCUUAAUUUAAUUUAUUUUGAAUUUUAUUAUUAAGUUAAAAAGCUUAAAUAUUUAAUGAAGACGAGAAGACCCUUUAGAGUUUUAUAGAUUUUAAAGUUAAAAAUUUAUAGUAUUUUAGUAAUAAUUUUUGUGUUUAUUUAAUUGGGGUGAUUUAAAAAUUUAAUUAACUUUUUAUUUUAUUUACAUAUAUUUAUGGAUGAAUGAUCCUAUUUUUUGAUUAUAAGAAUAAAUUACCUAAGGGAUAACAGCGUUAUUAUUCUUGAGAGUUCUAAUCGAUAGAAUAUUUUGCGACCUCGAUGUUGGAUUAAAGUUUUAUUUUGGUGGAGAAGCUAAAAAUAUAAGUCUGUUCGACUUUUAAAAUUUUACAUGAUCUGAGUUUAGACCGGCGUGAGCCAGGUUGGUUUCUAUCUCUUUAUUGUUAAAAUAAUUUAGUACGAAAGGACCAAUUAUUUGAUAUAAAUAUUUCUAAAUUGAAUAUUAUUGUUAUUUUGGCAGAAAAGUGUAUUAGAUUUAGGAUCUUUUUAUGUAAUUUUAAAUUACAAAUAA